Non-coding RNA from Paramuricea clavata, 460 nucleotides. The record is from the annotation of a GenBank genome assembly. Lineage: Eukaryota; Metazoa; Cnidaria; Anthozoa; Malacalcyonacea; Plexauridae.
GUUAUAACCAACUGUUUAACCAUCCGUUCGUUUCUUUCAUAUAUUAACCACUAUAUAUAAAAUUGCAAUUUACAUUAAAAAAAAGUUGACUUGUUUUAAGGCCAGCAACACCGAACGUGAUUCGACAACGCGGCGCGAUUUUUCAAUAUUCACUGACAAUAACUUUGAUCCUGGUUAAAAUUUUUCCAAUAUUUAGAUGUAGUAUGACAUUUUGAGUUAUUUGGUCCACAUAUUUUUCAAAAUCUUUCAUACACGGUUUUAUUUACUUUCAAAAACUGGAAAGUCGCGUUGCCGAAUCACGCCCAGUGUAUCUGCAUGGUUCUUUAAUUAAAACAAUUUUUUACUUUCACUUUCUUUAUUUUGCUUUAUACACAGCAGACAAAAUAUGCUAGUAUAAUUAUUGAACGAACGCCUCUAUUGCCGGUGUAUGUAUAAAACACAAAUGAUUGGUUAAACAGUU